This 307-nucleotide unclassified non-coding RNA is filed under the name plant metagenome. RNAcentral describes it as "partial contains 5.8S ribosomal RNA, internal transcribed spacer 2, and large subunit ribosomal RNA". The stretch from base 1 to 105 matches the Rfam family "5.8S ribosomal RNA", at positions 50 to 154 of the family's 154-position model. The record is from RNAcentral.
GAAAUGCGAUAAGUAAUGUGAAUUGCAGAAUUCAGUGAAUCAUCGAAUCUUUGAACGCACAUUGCGCCCGCCAGCACUCUGGCGGGCAUGCCUGUUCGAGCGUCAUUUCAACCCUCAGAACCCCUUGCGGGAUCUGGCGUUGGGGAUUGGCAUCCAGCCAGCCCCGAAAUCUAGUGGCGGUCCCUCCGCGACCUCCCCUGUGCAGUAGCGAUACCUCGCAGCGGGACAGCGGUCUGACCACGCCGUAAAACCCCCAACUUCACAAGGUUGACCUCGAAUCAGGUAGGAAUACCCGCUGAACUUAAGC